RNAcentral lists this ribosomal RNA (383 nucleotides) under Enterobacter cloacae. Its description in RNAcentral is "bacterial SSU rRNA". It matches the Rfam family "Bacterial small subunit ribosomal RNA", at positions 69 to 452 of the family's 1533-position model. The record is from RNAcentral. Lineage: Bacteria; Pseudomonadati; Pseudomonadota; Gammaproteobacteria; Enterobacterales; Enterobacteriaceae.
GUAGCACAGAGAGCUUGCUCUCGGGUGACGAGUGGCGGACGGGUGAGUAUGUCUGGGAACUGCCUGAUGGAGGGGGAUAACUACUGGAAACGGUAGCUAAUACCGCAUAAUGUCGCAAGACCAAAGAGGGGGACCUUCGGGCCUCUUGCCAUCAGAUGUGCCCAGAUGGGAUUAGCUAGUAGGUGGGGUAACGGCUCACCUAGGCGACGAUCCCUAGCUGGUCUGAGAGGAUGACCAGCCACACUGGAACUGAGACACGGUCCAGACUCCUACGGGAGGCAGCAGUGGGGAAUAUUGCACAAUGGGCGCAAGCCUGAUGCAGCCAUGCCGCGUGUAUGAAGAAGGCCUUCGGGUUGUAAAGUACUUUCAGCGGGGAGGAAGGU